Molecule: ribosomal RNA, 429 nt
Filed under: Chloroflexota bacterium
Lineage: Bacteria; Bacillati; Chloroflexota
Description: Chloroflexi bacterium partial 16S ribosomal RNA
Rfam family: Bacterial small subunit ribosomal RNA
Source: RNAcentral
UGGGGAAUAUUGCACAAUGGGCGCAAGCCUGAUGCAGCCAUGCCGCGUGUAUGGAGAAGGCCUUCGGGUUGUAAAGUACUUUCAGCGGGGAGGAAGGGAGUAAAGUUAAUACCUUUGCUCAUUGACGUUACCUGCAGAAGAAGCACCGGCUAACUCCGUGCCAGCAGCCGCGGUAAUACGGAGGGUGCAAGCGUUAAUCGGAAUUACUGGGCGUAAAGCGCACGCAGGCGGUUGAUUGAGUCAGAUGUGAAAUCCCCGGGCUUAACCCGGGAAUUGCAUCUGAUACUGGUCAGCUAGAGUCUUGUAGAGGGGGGUAGAAUUCCAUGUGUAGCGGUGAAAUGCGUAGAGAUGUGGAGGAAUACCGGUGGCGAAGGCGGCCCCCUGGACAAAGACUGACGCUCAGGUGCGAAAGCGUGGGGAGCAAACAGG